GCCAAGCACGGUGGCACACGCCUAUAGUCCCAGCUAUUUGGGAGGCUGAGGUAGGAGGAUCACUUGAGCUCAGGAGUUCUGGGUUGCAGUGCAGUAUGCCAGUCAGGUGUCUGCACCUAGGUCGGCAUCACUAUGGUGACCUCCAGGCAGUGGGGGGACUACCAGGUUGCCUAAGGAGGCGUGAACUGCCCCAGGAUGGAAAUGGAGCAGGUCAAAACUCCUGUUCUGGCCAGUAGUGGGAUCACGCCUGUGAAUAGCCACUGCACUCCAGCCUGGGCAACAUAGUGAGACCCAUCUUGA
RNAcentral lists this signal recognition particle RNA (300 nucleotides) under Carlito syrichta (Philippine tarsier). RNAcentral's name for it is "Metazoan signal recognition particle RNA (ENSTSYG00000034766.1)". It matches the Rfam family "Metazoan signal recognition particle RNA". Rfam says of the family: The signal recognition particle (SRP) is a universally conserved ribonucleoprotein. It is involved in the co-translational targeting of proteins to membranes. Lineage: Eukaryota; Metazoa; Chordata; Mammalia; Primates; Tarsiidae. The record is from Rfam by way of RNAcentral.